RNAcentral lists this long non-coding RNA (790 nucleotides) under Malus domestica (apple). RNAcentral's name for it is "long non-coding RNA (MDOM_LNC004620)". The record is from RNAcentral. Lineage: Eukaryota; Viridiplantae; Streptophyta; Magnoliopsida; Rosales; Rosaceae.
AAGAACAAUUUACAACACCUUCGAAAGGUGUGUUCUUGACACUUGCAAGACAUUUCUUGCAAAUACCCCUUCCAUUGUCCAUCCUUUCAUAAAGAAAGUUUGUUCCCUUGGAGUUAUUUCGCUUUCUUCAUUUGACUUCUCCUUUGACUACAAUAGUCAUGGUCCCUAAACUCCCACUGUCUCUCUUGAAAACUUAUUUCAAUUGUGUUAUACACAUCAAACGAUUUUGGAGAGCGUGUGGUUAUUGUUCACUAUAUAGUUUACAAUAAACUUAGUGAACCAUUUGGAUAGGGACACAAAGGUGAAGUCCUUGCCUAGUUUCCGUCUCUAGAAGUGGUGUAACACUUCAACACUCAAUGAUUCAAAAUCAUCAUAAGUCCAUGUUGAUGGACUAUUUUUGUCAACCAACCAUUAUGUUCUAAACAUAAUUACAAACUUUCAAGAGUUGUUCAAGGCAACUCUCAUUUCUUCAUACAACAAUUUGUAAGUGAAGAAUUAUGGCACAUAAAGUGUCCAUGCCUUUGUGCUUUCUUCUUAAGUUCCUUGUUCAUGUAACAAAGAAACAAGCACUAAUGUUUGCGUUAGUUAAGGGUUGUUCAAAGCAACUCUUAUUUCUUCAUACAACGAUUUGUAAUUGAAGAAUUAUGACUUUAAAAGUGUUGUCCUCUUUAUGAUAGACUUUAUCUAACAAGUUCUUCCAAUGGUACAUUAUCAAUAGAAAGAUUGUGAGGAUGAGACUACUUAGGUACAUAUACAAUCCAUUUAAGACAAUCUUUGGGAUUGUUGUACC